This 430-nucleotide ribosomal RNA is filed under the name uncultured bacterium. RNAcentral describes it as "bacterial SSU rRNA". It matches the Rfam family "Bacterial small subunit ribosomal RNA", at positions 356 to 777 of the family's 1533-position model. The record is from RNAcentral.
GGGGAAUAUUGGACAAUGGGCGGAAGCCUGAUCCAGCCAUGCCGCGUGUGUGAAGAAGGCCUUUUGGUUGUAAAGCACUUUAAGCGAGGAGGAGGCUACUUGGAUUAAUACUCUAGGAUAGUGGACGUUACUCGCAGAAUAAGCACCGGCUAACUCUGUGCCAGCAGCCGCGGUAAUACAGAGGGUGCGAGCGUUAAUCGGAUUUACUGGGCGUAAAGCGUGCGUAGGCGGCUUCUUAAGUCGGAUGUGAAAUCCCUGAGCUUAACUUAGGAAUUGCAUUCGAUACUGGGAAGCUAGAGUAUGGGAGAGGAUGGUAGAAUUCCAGGUGUAGCGGUGAAAUGCGUAGAGAUCUGGAGGAUUACCGAUGGCGAAGGCAGCCGUCUGGCCUAAUACUGACGCUGAGGUACGAAAGCAUGGGGAGCAAACAGGA